Molecule: ribosomal RNA, 253 nt
Filed under: uncultured bacterium
Lineage: Bacteria
Description: partial 16S ribosomal RNA
Rfam family: Bacterial small subunit ribosomal RNA
Source: RNAcentral
UACGUAGGGUGCGAGCGUUGCCCGGAUUUAUUGGGCGUAAAGGGCGCGUAGGCGGCCACGCACGUCCGUUGUGAAAUCGCCCGGCUCAACUGGGCGGGGUCAGCGGAUACGGUGUGGCUCGAGCAAGCUAGGGGGCAAUGGAAUUCCCGGUGUAGUGGUGGAAUGCGUAGAUAUCGGGAGGAACACCUGUGGCGAAAGCGGCGCACUGGACCAUAACUGACGCUGAGGCGCGAAAGCUAGGGGAGCAAACAGG